GAGAGAUUUAACGGGGUAAAGGCCUUUGAGUUCGGGAUCAACCAUCUUGGUCAAAGCAUCAAUGUCAUGAAGCUGAGGUGUUGCCCAUCGAACCAAAGAUUGCUCCAUCCUCGCCCUUGAACUGUCGAAUGGUUUGCGUCCAGUCAGCAGUUCCAACAUGACUACUCCAAAACUGUAAACGUCACUUUGCAGAGUAUAUUGACCGGACAUGGUAACUUCCGGGGCAGCAUAUCCUGAACUUGCACUGCCAUCCAACGCCUGAUCUGC
RNAcentral lists this unclassified non-coding RNA (267 nucleotides) under Hevea brasiliensis (rubber tree). The record is from RNAcentral. Lineage: Eukaryota; Viridiplantae; Streptophyta; Magnoliopsida; Malpighiales; Euphorbiaceae.